GUUUAAAUACUUUAGUGGCGGACGGGUGAGUAACGCGUGAGGAGCUGUCCUAUGCAGGGGGACAACAGUUGGAAACGGCUGCUAAUACCCCAUAAGCCGAGAGGUAAAAGGAUUUAUCGGCAAAGGAGGCACUCGCGUCCUAUCAGCUAGUAGGUUGGGUAACGGCCGACCUAGGCGAAGACGGGUAGCCGGCCUGAGAGGGCGAACGGCCACACUGGAACUGAGAUACGGUCCAGACUCCUACGGGAGGCAGCAGUGGGGAAUAUUGGGCAAUGGGGGGAACCCUGACCCAGCGACGCCGCGUGGGUGAAGAAAUCCUUCGGGAUGUAAAGCCCUGUUGUAUGGGAAGAGGAAGACGGUACCAUACGAGGAAGCCCCGGCAAACUACGUGCCAGCAGCCGCGGUAAUACGUAGGGGGCAAGCGUUGUCCGGAAUUACUGGGCGUAAAGCGCACGCAGGCUGACUUAUAAGUCGGUAGUCUAAUGCGGAGGCUCAACUUCCGUUUAUCUAUCGAUACUGUAAGACUAGAGUAUGUGAGAGGGAAGYGGAAYUCCCGGUGUAGCGGUGAAAUGCGUAGAUAUCGGGAGGAACACCAGUGGCGAAGGCGRCUUCCUGGCACAAUACUGACGCUCAGUGCGAAAGCUAGGGCAGCGAACGGGAUUAGAUACCCCGGUAGUCCUAGCCGUAAACGAUGGAUACUAGUGUGGGUGUCGCAGGGCAUCCGUGCCGCAGUUAACGCGUUAAGUAUCCCGCCUGGGGACUACGGUCGCAAGACUGAAACUCAAAGGAAUUGCGGGGGCCCGCACAAGCGGUGGAUGAUGUGGAUUAAUUCGAUGCAACGCGAAAAACCUUACCACCCUUGACAUGUCCGAACCCUGAAGAGAUGGGGGUGCCCGAAAGGGAAUUGGAACACAGGUGCUGCAUGGCUGUCGUCAGCUCGUGUCGUGAGAUGUUGGGUUAAGUCCCGCAACGAGCGCAACCCUUAUCAUUAGUUGCUACGCAAGGGCACUCUAAUGAGACUGCCGGUGACAACCGGAGGAAGGUGGGGAUGACGUCAAGUCCUCAUGGCCCUUAUGGGUAGGGCUUCAACGUCAUACAAUGGUCGGUACAGAGGGUUGCCAAGCCGCGAGGUGGUGCAAUCCCAGAAAGCCGAUCGUAGUCCGGAUUAUUCUCUGCAACUCGAGAGCAUGAAGUCGGAAUCGCUAGUAAUCGCGGAUCAGAUGUCGCGGUGAAUACGUUCCCGGGUCUUGUACACACCGCCCGUCACACCAUGGGAGUGGAAUCUGGCAGAAGUAGGUAGCCUAACCGCAAGGAGGGCGCUUACCACGCUGGGUUUCAUGACUGGGGUGAAGUCGUAACAAGGUAGCCGUAGGGGAACCUGCGGCUGGAUCACCU
RNAcentral lists this ribosomal RNA (1395 nucleotides) under uncultured bacterium. Its description in RNAcentral is "bacterial SSU rRNA". It matches the Rfam family "Bacterial small subunit ribosomal RNA". The record is from RNAcentral.